Molecule: ribosomal RNA, 216 nt
Filed under: Bacillus sp. 103mf
Lineage: Bacteria; Bacillati; Bacillota; Bacilli; Caryophanales; Bacillaceae
Description: 16S rRNA. Bacterial SSU
Rfam family: Bacterial small subunit ribosomal RNA
Source: RNAcentral
CUUUAUUGGAGAGUUUGAUCCUGGCUCAGGAUGAACGCUGGCGGCGUGCCUAAUACAUGCAAGUCGAGCGAACCGAUUAAGAGCUUGCUCUUAAGAAGUUAGCGGCGGACGGGUGAGUAACACGUAGGUAACCUGCCUAUAAGACUGGGAUAACUCCGGGAAACCGGGGCUAAUACCGGAUAACAUUUUGCACUGCAUAGUGCGAAAUUGAAAGGC